UACGUAGGGCGCAAGCGUUGUCCGGAAUUAUUGGGCGGAAAGAGCUCGUAGGCGGUCUGUCACGUCUGCCGUGAAAUCCCCAGGCUUAACCUGGGAACUGCAUCCGAUACUGGAUGGCUUGAAUCCGGGAGAGGGAUGCAGAAUUCCAGGUGUAGCGGUGAAAUGCGUAGAUAUCUGGAGGAAUACCGGUGGCGAAGGCGGCAUCCUGGACCGGCAUUGACGCUGAUGAGCGAAAGCUAGGGGAGCAAACGGG
RNAcentral lists this ribosomal RNA (253 nucleotides) under uncultured bacterium. RNAcentral's name for it is "partial 16S ribosomal RNA". It matches the Rfam family "Bacterial small subunit ribosomal RNA", at positions 524 to 776 of the family's 1533-position model. The record is from RNAcentral.